AUGGUAGUUGUACAUGCUCCGAUGGUCAGGGUCGGUAGAGGUACUCGCGGUAUUGACGACAGUCGUACACGCAGAACAGAGGUCUCAGUUGCGGUCAUGAUCUUAAGGAGGUCAACAGGAUCUGGGCCAGAGGAGCUGGCAGCGCUCGGCCUUGGCAAGGCUGACAUCAGGCCGCGUGGCCCACAUGCGAAUAGUGAGGGCGAGGAGGCAGCCCUAGGCGCGGUCGAUGUAGGCGUCCUUGCUACGCUCCUAAUCCUGCUCGAUGCAGAGAGUUGCGGGGGCGGCGCCUGCAGUUGCAGGGAGGCAACGACGCGCAUAGGGAAGGCCGACGAGGACUUGGCGCGACAGAGCUCUCCAGUGAAGCAGCAGGGUCGUCGGGCAGCGCGCGGGACCACGAUGAGGAUGCGAGGGAGAGGAGCGGCGCAAGGCGGCGACCUCCUGGUGGUCGCCGACGGCGGCGGGUGGCGAUGGGCCACCGGAGCGGGCGGUGGCCGGACGGGUCACGGAGGAGAUGGUCUGGUGGUCGCGGCCUGGUUCUGCGGGAUCCAUGGCAGCUGCGGGUGUGCCGGCGCUGGUGGGAGAAGGAGGCGGGGCAGGGACGCGCGACGGCGAGGGUGCGUGGCCAUGGGGAUCGGGAUCCCCCUCCUGGUCGCGCUGAGAGGUGAGGGAGGGAGCGAGAGGAGGGAGGAGCGAGAGGAAGAGGGAGGUUGGCGGCGCUGUGGGAGGGAGAUGGGGAUCGAGGGAGAGAUGGGCUAG
RNAcentral lists this ribosomal RNA (756 nucleotides) under Triticum aestivum (bread wheat). RNAcentral describes it as "partial small subunit ribosomal RNA". Lineage: Eukaryota; Viridiplantae; Streptophyta; Magnoliopsida; Poales; Poaceae. The record is from RNAcentral.